This 446-nucleotide ribosomal RNA is filed under the name uncultured bacterium. RNAcentral describes it as "partial 16S ribosomal RNA". It matches the Rfam family "Bacterial small subunit ribosomal RNA", at positions 338 to 795 of the family's 1533-position model. The record is from RNAcentral.
CCUACGGGAGGCUGCAGUCGAGAAUCAUUCACAAUGGGGGAAACCCUGAUGGUGCGACGCCGCGUGGGGGAAUGAAGGUCUUCGGAUUGUAAACCCCUGUCAUGUGGGAGCAAAUUAAAAAGAUAGUACCACAAGAGGAAGAGACGGCUAACUCUGUGUCAGCAGCCGCGGUAAUACAGAGGUCUCAAGCGUUGUUCGGAAUCACUGGGCGUAAAGCGUGCGUAGGCUGUUUCGUAAGUCGUGUGUGAAAGGCGCGGGCUCAACCCGCGGACGGCACAUGAUACUGCGAGACUAGAGUAAUGGAGGGGGAACCGGAAUUCUCGGUGUAGCAGUUAAAUGCGGAGAUAUCGAGAGGAACCCUCGUGGCGAAGGCGGGUUCCUGGACAUUAACUGACGCUGAGGCACGAAGGCCAGGAGAGCGAAAGGGAUUAGAUACCCUAGUAGUC